This 467-nucleotide ribosomal RNA is filed under the name uncultured bacterium. RNAcentral describes it as "partial 16S ribosomal RNA". It matches the Rfam family "Bacterial small subunit ribosomal RNA", at positions 28 to 507 of the family's 1533-position model. The record is from RNAcentral.
GAUGAACGCUGGCGGCGUGCUUAACACAUGCAAGUCGAACGGAAAGGCCCAAGCUUGCUUGGGUACUCGAGUGGCGAACGGGUGAGUAACACGUGGGUGAUCUGCCCUGCACUUCGGGAUAAGCCUGGGAAACUGGGUCUAAUACCGGAUAGGACCACUUCUUGGAUGUUGUGGUGGAAAGUUUUUUCGGUGUGGGAUGAGCUCGCGGCCUAUCAGCUUGUUGGUGGGGUAAUGGCCUACCAUGGCGUCGACGGGUAGCCGGCCUGAGAGGGUGUACGGCCACAUUGGGACUGAGAUACGGCCCAGACUCCUACGGGAGGCAGCAGUGGGGAAUAUUGCACAAUGGGCGCAAGCCUGAUGCAGCGACGCCGCGUGGGGGAUGACGGCCUUCGGGUUGUAAACUCCUUUCGCUAGGGACGAAGCGUUUUGUGACGGUACCUGGAGAAGAAGCACCGGCUAACUACGUG